AAAUGACUCUCGGCAACGGAUAUCUCGGCUCUCGCAUCGAUGAAGAACGUAGCGAAAUGCGAUACUUGGUGUGAAUUGCAGAAUCCCGUGAACCAUCGAGUCUUUGAACGCAAGUUGCGCCCAAAGCCAUUAGGCUGAGGGCACGUCCGCCUGGGUGUCACGC
RNAcentral lists this ribosomal RNA (163 nucleotides) under Sinningia cardinalis. RNAcentral describes it as "5.8S ribosomal RNA". It matches the Rfam family "5.8S ribosomal RNA". From Rfam's summary of the family: 5.8S ribosomal RNA (5.8S rRNA) is a component of the large subunit of the eukaryotic ribosome. The record is from RNAcentral. Lineage: Eukaryota; Viridiplantae; Streptophyta; Magnoliopsida; Lamiales; Gesneriaceae.